UUCUUUUCGAGGUCGGCCGCGUGGCUGGAAGACAUGGCCACUCCAGUCGGUGUUGAGCACGGCGAGCAGUCUCAGGCCUUUAGUGAUGAUGGGUGGUUAGGAGGGUUAAAAGUACUGGAUGAGAAAAUGCUUUCCAAACGUUGAGAAAAUGUUACUAUGUGAAGGGAGAGAGCUCAAGCCCGUCCUCGGCGUCAUAGGGCCGGCUUCUGCGGGGGAGAGCGCCUAACAACCUGGGCAGCCCCGUGCGCCUCCGCCGCGCGUGUGCUGAGCGUCAUGCCCAGGGGUCUUCGGUGCCCGCGCACGGGCAGACUCUGACGAUGGUGGUUCUUAAUUCAGCAUCAGGAGUGUUAACGUGUGAAGACGUGAUUCCGCUUGGAGUGUCUUGAGGACGGCCCCAAUCGGUAGUUCAUAUUUAGCUUUACAGAUAGGAGUCAAUAGGAUUGUAAACUUCUGGAAAGCCGUAGUUUUAACAACGAGCCUUUUUUCCUCCCCCAGAGGCCUUUCUUUGUUUGGCAUCUGCAGAGACGGUGAAAAGCAGAGCUCCAGGUUGAAGGAUCAGAGUAAUAGAUGGAGCCCUUAACAUGAGUAAGAGUGGGUGCAGGCAGGGCCUGAGUGGUCACUAGAAAUGAGAAAGCACAGUUGGUGCCAUCACAUACAUUCACCUCCUGCUUUAUUCUGAAGUUCAAGUAUGAGAAUACGUGUUGACAUACAAGCCAGCUAUGGUGCAGUCAGCCUCAGUUUCCAAAGCCGGAAAAGGAUCCUCUAGUAGCCACGGUGUGGCAGCUGCUCUGAACCAGGACCUGGACCCGGACCCAAAGUGCCAUGUCUUUAAUGUUAGCUCCCAGCGAUGCCAGAUGGGAUCAGCACAGCCCUGCCUCUGCUGCUAAUUGUUCCUCUAAAGUAAUCGCCAUGCGUUCUUUGGGCUUCAUCUUUAAAGGAAUGAAGCAACUGAGAUUAUUCUGGAAAACCUUUUGGCAGUUAGUGAAAUUAGAGUACAACUAAGAACAUUUUCAGACCUCCACUGUGGAUGACCUGGGUAUAAUCUCACAAAUCGAUGGGACUGCAAGGAUUGUAAACUGAAAUGAACAUGAUUAUACUCUGUUGGAAGAGCCUAAGAGGAAACUGAUGCCAUGAGUUUCAGAGAGUAAUGCUUAACCCCAGUUACACAGGAUGCCGUCUUGUGUUUCCUCUUGUUUAGUUACCCACUACAGUGAUUUUGUGAUCUGCUAAUGGGUUGCCACCCACAACCAUUGCUUUAGCACUUUUACUUCAAAUCAAUGAAGGAUUGAUAAAAGUUCUCCUGGUGUCUCCGCAGAGUGCCUUCCAGGAACAGAUCUUUGCAUAGAAUAUCAGUGGUUUCCUUUUUUGUUUCAAAUAGUGGUCAGAAAAUACCCAGUGUUGACUCACCAAGGCAAUCAGCUUCCUUUUUCCCUUUUUUUGUUUUUUUUUUAACAUUUUAUAUUUUUGCUUUAUUUUAUUUUAUUUUAUUUUAUUUUAUUUUAUUUUAUUUUAUUUUUUGAGACGGAGUUCCACUCUGUCGCCAGGCUGGAGUGAAGUGGUACAAUCUUGGCUCACUGCAACCUCCACCUCCCGGGUUCAAGCAAUUCUCCUGGCUCAGCCUCCUGAGUGCUGGGACUACAGGCGCGUACCUUCUUUAGUAGAGACUGGGUUUCACCAUGUUGGCCAGGAUGGUCUCUAUCUCCUGACCUUGUGAUCUGCCUGCCUCAGCUUCCCAAAGUGCUGAGAUGACAGGUGUGAGCCAUCAGACCCAGCAUUUUUUUUUUUAAUUUAAAUUUAAAUUUUUUUUCAUUUUUUUGAGAGGUUUUUUUUGUUUUGUUUUGUUGUUGUUGUUGUUGUUGUUUUUGAGACAGUCUUGCUCUGUCACCCAGGCUGGGAGUGCAGUGGCAUGAUCUCUGCAACCUCUACCUCCCAGGUUCAAGCAAUUCUUGUGCCUCAGCCUCCCAAGUAACUGGGACUACAGGUGCACGCUACCACACCUGGCUGAUUUUUUUUGUUUUAGUAGAGACAGGGUUUCAACCAUGUUGCCCAGGUUGGUCUCAAACUCCUGAGCUCAGGCAAUCCACCCGCCUUGGCCUCCCAAAGUGCUAGGAUUACAGGUGUGAGCCACCACACCCAGCUAUUUUUUCUUUCGUUUUUUAAUUUUAAAGUUGGGGGGGGGUCUCAAUUUGUUACCCUGGCUGGUCUCGAACUCCCGGACUUAAGCGAUCCUCUGGCUCCAAGCCCACUACCAGUCUCAGGUUUCUUUACUAAAAGAUCACUACCUUUUUUUCUCUUAUCUGCUGCCAUGUGAGAUGUGGCUUUCACCUUCCGCCAUGAUUGUGAGGCCUUCCCAGCCAUGUAGAACUGUAAGUCCAAUAAACCUCUUUUGUAAAUUAAAAAAAAAAAAUCACUAUUUAAGAUACUAGGAUGGAUUGUGACUGUUGAGGAGUACUUACAUAUCCUACAUUUGACUACAUUAUUUCCAAACCAAGUAUUCCAUCCAAAGGAACAUACUGCUAUCAUAGAGACCAAGGAGGGACUGUUUAAGGUUGCCAAGGUGAAGCGAGCUGAGAGGCUUUGUCCUCGUGCCAGUAACUCUGAAAUCUCUCUUAAUUCCUGCUGUCCAGGCAGCAGAAUGCCAUGGUUUCCCCAAGUAGGUAGCUGCUUUAGCAGUUAAAGCCCAAAUGUCUGUUCUGUUGAUCAGAGGUCUCUGAAUUUCUGAAGUGGUGUUUCGUUUCUGGUGACUGAGUUAAUCCUUUACAAUCCCUCUUGUAAAGUGUGCUAAUAGAAAGAAUCCACCUUUCAAAGCUGCAGAACCAGACCGUGCCCUAAAUUGACCAACGUAACUGAUGUGCCUCAGGAAGUCUCUUGCCAGCUGUCCCUGUGAAGACCCCCCUCCUCCCCCCCAGCUGCUGCCUUGCACACUGAAGCAUCUCAGACUGUGCAAAGCCGUGUAGUCAUCAAGACAGUAAAUCCCAGGGCUUGGUUAAGUGCUGUGUGAUAACUUGUUUGGAUGAGACUUAACUUAAAACCACUUACAAUAAACUUGGGAA
Long non-coding RNA from Homo sapiens (human), 3053 nucleotides. Ensembl annotates it as small nucleolar RNA host gene 16. Its record names the gene SNHG16. The record is from Ensembl. Lineage: Eukaryota; Metazoa; Chordata; Mammalia; Primates; Hominidae.